AGCAGCCGCGGUAAUUCCAGCUCCAAUAGCGUAUAUUAAAGUUGCUGCAGUUAAAAAGCUCGUAGUUGAAUUUCGGGAUCAAUAUGUCGGUCGUGCCUCGGUACGUACUGGCCUAUUGGUUUCUCCUUUCUGAAGAACCAUGAUGUCAUUUAUUUGGUGUCGUGGGAAAUCAGGACUGUUACUUUGAAAAAAUUAGAGUGUUUAAAGCAGGCUCACGCUUGAAUACAUUAGCAUGGAAUAAUGAAAUAGGACGUUUGAUUCUAUUUUGUUGGUUUCUAGGAUCGACGUAAUGAUUAAUAGGGAUAGUUGGGGGCAUUAGUAUUCAAUUGUCAGAGGUGAAAUUCUUGGAUUUAUUGAAGACUAACUACUGCGAAAGCAUUUGCCAAGGAUGUUUUCAUUAAUCAAGAACGAAAGUUAGGGGAUCGAAGACGAUCAGAUACCGUCGUAGUCUUAACCAUAAACUAUGCCGACUAGGGAUCGGAUGAUGUUAAUUUUUUUAAUGACUCAUUCGGCGCCUUAC
This 520-nucleotide unclassified non-coding RNA is filed under the name uncultured Glomus. RNAcentral's name for it is "SSU rRNA". It matches the Rfam family "Eukaryotic small subunit ribosomal RNA", at positions 569 to 1091 of the family's 1831-position model. The record is from RNAcentral. Lineage: Eukaryota; Fungi; Glomeromycota; Glomeromycetes; Glomerales; Glomeraceae.